Daphnia pulex (common water flea) is the source of this 517-nucleotide long non-coding RNA. RefSeq lists it as uncharacterized. The record is from RefSeq and is a predicted model, not a curated record. NCBI's taxonomy places the organism in Eukaryota, Metazoa, Arthropoda, Branchiopoda, Diplostraca, Daphniidae. The transcript has 2 exons.
AUCACAACUUAUUGAACAGUUGAACUCGUCUAGCCUUCCUUACAGUAAAAAAUGGCCAAAUCGCUUCUGAUGAUUUUGAUGGUGUCUUUGGUGCUGCUGGCAAUUGUCAACGAGUUCGGUGGGCUCGUGAAUGGACAGUGCGAUUCAUCCCAAGGCAACUGUUGUCGUUGGCGUUGCGAUGGCGGAGGCUGUGGUUGCAGACCUUUCUUUUCUCUUAACUGCGGUGCACCAGACAGCUGUGGUGCAUAAUAACCCUAACCGAAAUAGUAGUUCAUCACUUGUUUUACAUGCAACCGAACUGGACCGAAUUUGUUAUCCGACCAAGAUUAUCCGAAACAAUUACAGAAUUUGAAUAACGGGGAAAAAAAUAAGAAAAUCCAAGUCUUUCCUAUCUAAAUCUUCUGGUUUCAAUUAACCCGAGCAAUAUUUGUAUAAUUGUGGAUGUAUUCAAAUAAUCCGCUUGAAUAUAUAUUCAACCUUCCAACUCUGAUAAUACACAUCAUACAAAUGCUCAGCA